Molecule: ribosomal RNA, 30 nt
Filed under: Penicillium ubiquetum
Lineage: Eukaryota; Fungi; Ascomycota; Eurotiomycetes; Eurotiales; Aspergillaceae
Description: partial 28S large subunit ribosomal RNA
Source: RNAcentral
UGACCUCGGAUCAGGUAGGAAACCCGCGCC